This 497-nucleotide ribosomal RNA is filed under the name uncultured bacterium. RNAcentral's name for it is "partial 16S ribosomal RNA". It matches the Rfam family "Bacterial small subunit ribosomal RNA", at positions 28 to 507 of the family's 1533-position model. The record is from RNAcentral.
GAUGAACGCUGGCGGCGUGCCUAAUACAUGCAAGUCGAGCGAACAGACGAGGAGCUUGCUUCUCUGACGUUAGCGGCGGACGGGUGAGUAACACGUGGAUAACCUACCUAUAAGACUGGGAUAACUUCGGGAAACCGGAGCUAAUACCGGAUAAUAUAUUGAACCGCAUGGUGCAAUAGUAAAAGACGGUUUUGCGGUCACUUAUAGAUGGAUCCGCGCCGCAUUAGCUAGUUGGUAAGGUAACGGCUUAUCAAGGCAACGAUGCGUAGCCGACCUGAGAGGGUGGUAGGCCACCCUGGAGCUGGGCCGCGGACCAGGCUCCUACGAGACGCAGCAGUCGGCAACGGUACGCAGUGGGCGAGAGUCUGGCGGAGCGGCGCCGCGUGUGUUGUGAAGGUCCUCCGUUCGUAAAGCCCUGUUAUUAGUUAAGAACAAAUGUCUAAUGUACUGUGCACUGAGUGACGGUACCGGAUAAGAAAGCACCGGCUAACUACGUG